This 643-nucleotide unclassified non-coding RNA is filed under the name Hevea brasiliensis (rubber tree). The record is from RNAcentral. Lineage: Eukaryota; Viridiplantae; Streptophyta; Magnoliopsida; Malpighiales; Euphorbiaceae.
GGAAAACAGACGUAUGAUCUUCCAUUAAAGCUUCAUUGAUGUUGCUAGUUAAUGACACACAAAUGCAACGCCUAAUCAUGCAUAGUUUCUUUACAAGUUCCAAAUAAACCUCAACCUCUCCUAAAUACUUACAAUAACACCACCAAAAUUUGAUAAAAUGAAAAGCAGAUCAUUUAAAAUUUCCAGCAAACGCUACCAAACAUCUCUCCAGCCAAGAAAGGAGGAAAAGACCAUUUUCCAUGGAACCACCAAGGCAGCAACUCCCUCACAUUGGCUCCACUGGUAAUUAAUACCAGUCAUUGAAAAGAAAGCAACAAAAGGGUCUGCAUUCAGAAACCUUACUGAUUGAACUCCCCAAAUAGACACUAACCAAGCAUUAGAAUUUCUAAAAAAAUUAUAAAAUUACUAUAAUUGUUUGUUUGCUUAUCUACUUGGUGAUAAGCAUGUAUGAACAUUCUGGGUUAGGCCCAUCAGUCAAGCAUGGAAUAACUUAGAAAAAAGAGCACCAUCUCCGACUUCUAUUACCCCUUUGGUUGGGCAUGGAAGAGCCAAGAACUUGAAUUUGAUGAAGCCCAGUCUCAGGAGAGUUACAAUGACGAGUUGGCACUCUUCUUUGAGGAUUUCCUAGCCACAAUACAAGGAC